GUGUGUGUGUGUCAGCGCAUUAAUAUAGAACGUGAUUAAACUGACCUGGAACUACCUGUGCAGUUAAACGAAUUUAAUCAACACCUGCCAGCCAAUCAGAAUCGAGUAU
This is a long non-coding RNA of Sinocyclocheilus anshuiensis, 109 nucleotides long. RefSeq lists it as uncharacterized. The transcript has 3 exons. Lineage: Eukaryota; Metazoa; Chordata; Actinopteri; Cypriniformes; Cyprinidae. The record is from RefSeq and is a predicted model, not a curated record.